RNAcentral lists this transfer RNA (86 nucleotides) under Spirochaetota bacterium. RNAcentral describes it as "tRNA-Leu". It matches the Rfam family "tRNA". From Rfam's summary of the family: Transfer RNA (tRNA) molecules are approximately 80 nucleotides in length. Their secondary structure includes four short double-helical elements and three loops (D, anti-codon, and T loops). Lineage: Bacteria; Pseudomonadati; Spirochaetota. The record is from RNAcentral.
GCUGGAGUGGCGGAAUUGGCAGACGCACGGGACUUAAAAUCCCGGGGAUCGUGAGAUCCGUGCCGGUUCAAGCCCGGCCUUCAGCA